UGGAUCAAGGAGGAAAGCUGAUUCUAUUCGAAAUAUGACCAAAAAGGGUUGUGAGUGAUUGGGACUGUAGUACUGUCAACAUUUCAAGUGAAAGGCUUAGAGUUUUAUCUUUAGGGAAAUGUAUUCGUAAAAUUAGCUUGUUGGCCAUGAAGUUUUAAAAGGAGUGGAUGCAUGUUGUCGAGAUACGUUGAGGAUGACAGCUGCCUCCAAGUUCUUCUUGGCUUCCUCGCGGCCUAUCCAGGGGAUCCGGGAACCAAAUCUCCUCCAUCAUCGUGUUAGUUGUUUGACACACUUUCUCACAGAAAUAAAAAGGGGAUACUGAGACCAAACCGGCCUACUGAUCCAUACAGACUAGCCCUACACAAGACAAUGUCUGUCACAUUGGUGCCAUGACCGAGUUGGACCUUCGCCCAACCGGGAUCUUUCUGGACAUCAUCUGCGUUGUGAUAAUCAACAAAGCCUGACUGCCCACAGCACCUGGAUCAGAGAGCCAGUCCAAUGAAAUCUGUCAAGAAAACCGCAGAUAAACAAGGCCUGUAUCAUCAUUGUAAUCUAGUACUACACUUUUAUUAUACACGAAGACAGAACAUGACAUGCUUGUAUCAUUGCAAAAAAAAAAAAAAACUAACUAUACAAUCAGUCAAGCACAGACGCACUCACUUACUAUACAACUCACCACACACGUUAUCCAUUACAAUGUGUUCAUUCAGCUCUAACAUACCCACAUUUUUAAUUUAAAAAACCCUCAAAUCUGAAUAACCUGA
Long non-coding RNA from Engraulis encrasicolus (European anchovy), 764 nucleotides. RefSeq lists it as uncharacterized. The record is from RefSeq and is a predicted model, not a curated record. The transcript is spliced from 3 exons. NCBI's taxonomy places the organism in Eukaryota, Metazoa, Chordata, Actinopteri, Clupeiformes, Engraulidae.